Molecule: long non-coding RNA, 640 nt
Filed under: Homo sapiens (human)
Lineage: Eukaryota; Metazoa; Chordata; Mammalia; Primates; Hominidae
Description: HSALNT0349440
Source: RNAcentral
AGUUGCUUCAAGAUUCAGAGCAACCUGAGAAGGUUGAAAGUUUUCUUGGAAUCAUGGAAGGUCAAGCUGAAAGGAUGCUUUCAAGUUAUUUAAAUCCACAUGUGAAACCUGGAGAGGGAGAAUUUGGGAUUAAAGACUGAAUUCACAUUCUUUCUAACCAGUGGCCUUUUUUGGACUGUUAAAUCCUUGAUGCCAAAAGCUUCUGAUUGUGAAGCUAAUGAACCAAUGCCUAGUGUGAUUACCUCCAACUGCUAAAUGUAAUCCAAAGAACAUGCCUGAUUGCAAACAAUCUUGCCAAGCAUAGACAAAGGAAGACCAUUCAUUAAAACUACUUGUUUUCGAGCAGAUUCCAGCCCAGAUUUUAUUCAGCUGCCUAAUCAAGGAAGACUGCUUUCACUUUCUGCAAACUAGGCAGUAAAAGCCACAGAGGCCAAUGGCCUCCUGUAGAUUUUUCUAGGAGUUGGCAAACUAUGGCCCAUCAGCCACAUCUGACCUGCUUUCCUGUUUUGUAAAGCCCAUGAGCUAAGAAUAUUUUGUACAUUUUUAGAUGGUUGGGGAAAAAUCAAAAGAAGAUUACUAUUUUGUUAUGCCUGAGAAUGAAAUAAAAUUCACAUUUCAGUGUCCAUAAGUAAAGUUUUAU